Molecule: long non-coding RNA, 724 nt
Organism: Eucalyptus grandis
Lineage: Eukaryota; Viridiplantae; Streptophyta; Magnoliopsida; Myrtales; Myrtaceae
Exons: 3
Source: RefSeq, a predicted model, not a curated record
CACAUUGUUUGAUCGCUUAAUUCACUUUUUAUUGGUGGAUGAGGAAUUCAUUAUUUUGUUGGAAAAAGGAGUAGCUCCUUGUACUCAACACGUGCGAGGAUCCUAUUAUUGUUUUAUGAGUGUCUUCCCCGAUUGAGAUCUAGACAAGCAAUACUAAUCUCUGUCAUAGGUUCCUAAGUGUCUGUUUCCCAUUGGGUGCCUUACUUUUCGUGUAACAUCAAAGUCAUUAUAUGGUGGUGAGUUGUCUAAUCCUCUUUUUGCUGAUUGACAAUGUAGUGAAGGGAGCUUGUGGUUAGACUCUGCAGAAUUUCAAUGAGAUGAUGGGAUUGCUUGAGAUUUUGGGGUUUAACUACCUAACAUUGUUUCCCUGAUGCAUUCUUGCCAUGGUCAAAUGUUCUUUUACAUGGACGUACGGCCUUUGGCAAGACAUGCAUUGUUAGUGCAGCAAUAGCAGCUUGUUCUCUUCAAUCCAUAUCAGUGAAAGGGCUGAACUGUUAGAUAAGUACAUUGGAACGUCUGAGCAAGCUGCAAAAAUAACUGAUUUUGAGAAGUGGUUAGACAUAGUCGCUACUCUGCAGGCCAAGAAGAGUUCCGAUAAGGUUUGUUGUCUCGCACAACUCUUUCUUCUGACUGUGUAAACUAGUCAAGAUUUGGAUUGGGUAUUGUUCAAUUCCAUGGUCACCAUCUUAUUUGCGGCUCUUUGACAGAUCCAUGUCCUGAGGAG